CUACGGAGGGUGCGAACGUUAAUCGGAAUUACUGGGCGUAAAGCGCGCGUAGGCGGUUAGAUAAGUGGGAUGUGAAAGCCCCGGGCUCAACCUGGGAACUGCAUUCCAAACUAUCUAGCUAGAGUUUGGUAGAGGGAGGUGGAAUUUCCUGUGUAGCGGUGAAAUGCGUAGAUAUAGGAAGGAACACCAGUAGCGAAGGCGGCCUCCUGGACCAAAACUGACGCUGAGGUGCGAAAGCGUGGGGAGCAAACAGGAUUAGAUACCCUAGUAGUCC
This 274-nucleotide ribosomal RNA is filed under the name uncultured bacterium. Its description in RNAcentral is "partial 16S ribosomal RNA". It matches the Rfam family "Bacterial small subunit ribosomal RNA", at positions 523 to 796 of the family's 1533-position model. The record is from RNAcentral.